GUGGGGAAUAUUGCACAAUGGGGGAAACCCUGAUGCAGCGACGCCGCGUGAGUGAAGAAGUAUUUCGGUAUGUAAAGCUCUAUCAGCAGGGAAGAAAAUGACGGUACCUGACUAAGAAGCCCCGGCUAACUACGUGCCAGCAGCCGCGGUAAUACGUAGGGGGCAAGCGUUAUCCGGAUUUACUGGGUGUAAAGGGAGCGUAGACGGCUUUGCAAGUCUGACGUGAAACUCCGGGGCUCAACUCCGGAACUGCGUUGGAAACUGUAAGGCUUGAGUGCCGGAGAGGUAAGCGGAAUUCCUAGUGUAGCGGUGAAAUGCGUAGAUAUUAGGAGGAACACCAGUGGCGAAGGCGGCUUACUGGACGGCAACUGACGUUGAGGCUCGAAAGCGUGGGGAGCAAACAGGA
Molecule: ribosomal RNA, 406 nt
Filed under: uncultured bacterium
Lineage: Bacteria
Description: bacterial SSU rRNA
Rfam family: Bacterial small subunit ribosomal RNA
Source: RNAcentral